UGUCUCAGAAAACAAAAACAAAAGCAAAAAACCCCAAAAUGUAACUGGGUUCCUGUUACUUACUUUUUAAAAGCCCUUCAAUAGUUUCUUUCCUGCCUCACUUAAAAUAAAAUCCGAACUCCUUGCCAUGGCCUUCAUCAUUGCCGUUCAGAGUGAAUGUGAUUGGAGGAUGGAGAGCCUUGGUACCUGCUGGGAGCUUGUCAGAAAUGAGACUCCACGUCUGCUGCAGCAGGAUCUGCAUUUGCCACAAUACCCAGGUGAUUUGUGUGCUCCUUAAAGUUUGAGAAGAUGUCCUAAACAGUCUUUGUGAUCAUCCCAGAACUCCUCACCCACCCACCUAAACCUUACCCCACUUUUAUCAUUUAUCCUGUAUUCUACUCAUCACAAUUUACACUUACUCUACUUGCUUAUUGUCAGUCUGGAGGGCUAGAAUAUAAGCACAUAGAGGACAGGGACCAUAAGUAGUUUUGUUCAUUAUUUUAUCUUUGGCAUCUAGCUUAGUGCCUGGCACAUAACAGAUGCUUAAGGAAUAUUUAUUGAAUAAAUGAUGAGUUUUCUGCCUUUAUCUUUCUGACCUAGUGUUUCUCAACACAGGAGCUGUUGGUGUGACAGUUCUUGUACAGAUUCGUCUGGAAUAUGGCAGGAUUUAACAUCCUUGGUUCCCACCCACUAAAUGCCACUGGAAACUCCCUAGUCGUUGUGACAAUAAAAAAGACAUUCCUACAAUGUUUCUAACACCUCUUAGUGUGAUGGGAUUGCCCUUGGUUGAGACCAUUGCUUUAACCAAUUUCGUCUGACCUUAUGCGAUUGAACAUAACAUGAUGUGUGCUGUAGGGUCCAAGAGUCAGAAAAUUCAGGUUCAAAUCUUUUCAUAGCCUUUGUGACCUUGGGCAAAUCACCUAACCUUUCUGGGUCUUAUUUGUAAAACAGGAAUCUCAGAGUUGUGCUGAGGAUUAAAUGAACUGACUAGAGGAGCAGCAACGUGCAUGGCAGCCCUAGUUACGUGGCAGCUAGUAGGCAAAUGGAUGCGUGUUGUUCUAGGAUCUAGGGACAAUCCCAGCUUCCUCAAAUCAAACCACUGUUGCUGGAAGAGCUGGUGAGAUCAGCUACACCUUGGACAGAUGCAGAAAUCCUAAACAAAAAUAUCAACUCUUGGAACUGAACAGUGCUUCAAAAGAAUCACACACCAUGGCCGACCAGGUUAUUUGCCAGAUAUUGCUGAAAGUCACAAAAUCUACCAGCAUAAAUGAUUACAGGCACAAAUUAAAGAAUAAAUGUGAUUACACUAAUAAAUGUUGAAAAGUAUUUGGGAGGCAUUUCUAAUGAAGAAAACUACUUUGACACAGCAAAGAUUGUUUCCUGUGGUGGUCUUUUAAUUAUAGUGGAAGGGUGAGGUUGGGCCCAAGGCUUGCGGUCAUCACCAGGAGUGAAGGAGUUCACUCUGAUGGCAACAUUUCCUUGGGGAAGAAUGAACCACGAACAGAAAAAAACAGCACUCGGAUCCUUUGGGAAUGUAACUUGAUCUUGAUAUUUAAAGGAUUGGGCCCCACAGGUUUAAAAAGCUUGAGUUCGAACCCUUAUUCCAUCAGUUUGAUAGACAGCUGUUGGCCUUCUGCCAGUUACCAUACCUCUCUGAGCCUGAACUUUCUCAACUGAAAAAUGGGGACUGUAUUGAGAAACAAACUUAAUAACACAAACUUCUAUGACAUAAACCUUGAAAUGUUAUUUGGGGAAAUAUUCACUUGGCAUGGCCCUAGCAAACUCCUCCCAAAUACCUUAUCAGUAGCACCCUGGUGUCACCCCAAGUGGGGUGCUCCAGAGUAAGCAAGCCACUUAGAUGUGCAUGUUAAUUGAGUCCUGCAAUGCAGACGUCUUCUUGGAUCCAAGUUCAUGCAAAAAAGAAGGAAAAGGACAUUUGAGAGAUUAACACAUCCAUUAUAAUCACUGAAAUAGGCUGCUGUAAUAAGGGCCAUUUAAUAAAAUGUAAGAAGCCCUUUUCUAAGAGGGAAGAGAUGGGUCAGGAUGGAAGUCAAGUGCAGCUGUUUGAGCCUUUGCCAGUGGUCUGAUCUCACCAGUAAAACUGGAGUUAAAAAACAACAAACUUCCAGAUUCAGCCGUCUCAGAUAAACACUGCCUCCCCCUGGCGUUCCACCCACCCCAAGUCCUUUCCCUUUCUCCCCAGCUCGGGCAGCACCUGAGUCGCUUGGUGCGUUUCCGUGUGGUUGGGAUGUCAGCCGGCAGCCCUGGCGAUCGGAGCCCUGGGAGGCGGCAGCUACCUCUCGGGUUUAGCAUUACGUCAUCCCUUCUAGGCCCAAAUUUAUCUCGGCUGCACAGAGACCCGCAGCUCUGAGCUGCCGCUGACUUGAGGAGAGCUUACGCAUGAACUUAGGUGGCCUUUUGGUGAGUCUCGCUCCACUUUCCAUGUCCUCAUCUCCCUCUUGGCCAUGGCUCUAGAAGAAGGGCUCUAGGUUAGUUCACCUGGACCAGGUCAACUGUGGAAGGCCAUGCAUAGGCCCCAGGCCUCUUGCAUCUAGCCAUCUCUUCCUAACCAGCUAUGGCUCUGUGACCUCUGGAAUUAAAGCCAUCUUGAAUUCAUGUAUAUUUUCAGUUUGUACUACUUUUCUUGAUUGCUUGUCACACAAGUUUACCUCCUAUUAGGAAAAGUAGAGUUGUAUUUGUCCUGACCAGGCGCAGUGACUCACGUCUGUAAUCCCAGCACUUUGGGAGGCUGAGGC
Long non-coding RNA from Cercocebus atys (sooty mangabey), 2735 nucleotides. RefSeq lists it as uncharacterized. NCBI's taxonomy places the organism in Eukaryota, Metazoa, Chordata, Mammalia, Primates, Cercopithecidae. The record is from RefSeq and is a predicted model, not a curated record. The transcript is spliced from 3 exons.